AAACUUUCAACAACGGAUCUCUUGGUUCUGGCAUCGAUGAAGAACGCAGCGAAAUGCGAUAAGUAAUGUGAAUUGCAGAAUUCCGUGAAUCAUCGAAUCUUUGAACGCACAUUGCGCCCCUCGGUAUCCCGGGGGGCAUGCCUGUCCGAGCGUCAUUA
This 158-nucleotide ribosomal RNA is filed under the name Toninia squalida. Its description in RNAcentral is "5.8S ribosomal RNA". It matches the Rfam family "5.8S ribosomal RNA". From Rfam's summary of the family: 5.8S ribosomal RNA (5.8S rRNA) is a component of the large subunit of the eukaryotic ribosome. It is transcribed by RNA polymerase I as part of the 45S precursor that also contains 18S and 28S rRNA. The record is from RNAcentral. Lineage: Eukaryota; Fungi; Ascomycota; Lecanoromycetes; Lecanorales; Ramalinaceae.